CAAAUCUAACCCGCAGAUUUAGUUUAUUUGAUAUGAACGAGUCCAACCAGCUUAAAUAUGAAGGAAAAGAUAAGAGAAAAUUUCUGCAGUUGAAAGUAAACAAGAUGUCAAGAUCCAAAGACCAAAAGUAUGUUGCAUUUAUGGUAAAUAAAAACGGGUAACGAACCUGAGCAAUUCAAGGAAUAAUGGAAUAAGGACGGAUCUUCAGAAGGCAAAUAGAGAGAGAGAACUUGGGAGGGCGCAAACUGAGAUGGUAAAAACCAUACAGAAAGAGUCAACUCAACCCCAGAAAAGGGUAUCCCUUAGAAAUAGGAAUGGUGAGGUGGUUGCUUAGGAGAGUUUUGGUGGAAUAUUACUUGGAUCCACUCAUAUGCAAUCGAAUCAAGAAACCGGGAAAUUUGGGUUCCUAUUAAUCCCCCUCCUUUUGUUUUUUUAAUCUAUAGUUUUGUGCAUUGUUUUUUU
RNAcentral lists this long non-coding RNA (462 nucleotides) under Theobroma cacao (cacao). RNAcentral describes it as "long non-coding RNA (TCAC_LNC004244)". Lineage: Eukaryota; Viridiplantae; Streptophyta; Magnoliopsida; Malvales; Malvaceae. The record is from RNAcentral.